RNAcentral lists this ribosomal RNA (540 nucleotides) under uncultured bacterium. Its description in RNAcentral is "bacterial SSU rRNA". It matches the Rfam family "Bacterial small subunit ribosomal RNA", at positions 355 to 896 of the family's 1533-position model. The record is from RNAcentral.
UAAGGAAUAUUGGUCAAUGGACGCAAGUCUGAACCAGCCAUGCCGCGUGAAGGAUGAAGGUCCUCUGGAUUGUAAACUUCUUUUAUAGGGGGCGAAAAAGGUUUUUCUAAAUCACUUGACAGUACCCUAUGAAUAAGCACCGGCUAACUCCGUGCCAGCAGCCGCGGUAAUACGGAGGGUGCAAGCGUUAUCCGGAUUCACUGGGUUUAAAGGGUGCGUAGGCGGGUAGAUAAGUCAGAGGUGAAAUCCUGGAGCUUAACUCCAGAACUGCCUUUGAUACUAUCUAUCUUGAAUAUGGUGGAGGUAAGCGGAAUAUGUCAUGUAGCGGUGAAAUGCAUAGAUAUGACAUAGAACACCUAUUGCGAAGGCAGCUUACUACGCCUAUAUUGACGCUGAGGCACGAAAGCGUGGGGAUCAAACAGGAUUAGAUACCCUGGUAGUCCACGCCCUAAACGAUGAUUACUCGACGUAUGCGAUACACAGUAUGCGUCUGAGCGAAAGCAUUAAGUAAUCCACCUGGGAAGUACGACCGCAAGGUUG